GUGCUUUAUCCAUCACUAUGGCCCUUGUGCCUCAAUGACCUGAACGGCCCGGCACAGAGUGGAGGUUUGUUUUAAAACAGGUAAGAGUGAUCAUCGGUAUUGGAAGUUAGCCCUUUGUGAGGUGAUGCAGCGGAGAGACUUCUGGAAUUCUGGGACUAUUGUCUUCUUUGAACAGAACACACUACAGGAAAAUGAAACCCCCCAAAAAGGACUUUAAAUGAUAGUCUAUGAAAGAACCUCCUCGAUGUCAUUUACUGACGAAUUCCUCCAGCAGAGUGAACAACCCUCCACCCAGGACAACACCGUCCUGCCUGCCAGGCCUGGGUAGUGGCACCCAGAGGGUUUCUCUGGGUAGCUCUGGCUGUCCUGGAACUUUCUGCAGACCAGGCUGGCCUUGAACUCAGAGCUCUACCCGACUUUGCCUCCUGAGUGCUGGGAUGAAAGACAUGCACCAUCACCUCCUUGGAAGUCUGUUACUUUUAAAUUUUUCUCUGGUAAGUUUUUAGGACAAGGGCAGAAAGCAGUCACAUUAUUUGCCAAAAUACCACUCAAGCAAGCUCUCUGGCUCUGUUGCUAACACUGUUUCCCUCUGGUGCCUUUUGAACCUCCACAGUCUGUAAAUCUCUCAGCACCGCUGUCUUCCUGCUUCCAUCUCCGAGGGCUCAGUACGUCCUGCUGACAGCAUUCAGCAGAUUUUCUAGUUCAAAGUUGCAAAGUCUUCCACAUUCUUCCAAAAAUCAGCAUCGUCAGGUCUGGCCCAGUACUAGCCGACGCCCUGCACCAACUUCUUAGUUACUUUCCCCACUGCAGUGACAAAACACGAUGGUCAGAGCAGCUCACAGAAGGAUGGACUUAUGUGGGGCUGAUAAUUCCAGAGGGUUUGAGAGUAUUCCAUGAGAUGAGCUGUGGUGGCGCACACCUUUAAUCCCAGCACUUGGGAGGCAGAGGCAGGUGGAUCUCUGUGAGUUUGAGGCCAGCCUGGUCUACAGAGUGAGUUCCAGGACAACCAGAGCUGUUACACGAGAAACUCUGUCUCAAAAAACCAAGCAAGGCCAAACCAAACCAAAAGCAAAACCAAAACCGAAAGAAAAUCCCUCAAAACAAGAGUCCAUUAUGACAGCAAGUCUCGGGAGUUGUGGCUGGAACAGAAGCUGAGAACUCACACCUUGAACUACAGGAAAUAAUAAAAAGUACCCGACUCAUAAACUGGAUCUGAGGGCUAAUGAAAUACUACAGCCCAAGUACCUGCCGUCGAGGAAAUGCUAAAUAAGUAAACGAGAGAAUCCAGGAGUCUCCAAAGCUUAUGAAGAGUUCCAUGACUUCCAAAUAACCAGAAAAACAUUUAAGAAAAUAAAUUCACAGCCGCUGGACUGGGUGCCAAUGACACCAAGUGCGGGCUGGAAUGUGGUGGCAUAAAAGUCUUGCACAUUGCUUCAGGGAGCAUCCUCGUGAGUAGAGGAAGAAGGAACCAUGGGAUUAGGAUUGUACCUGUGAGACGGUUUCCACCUCGCAUGAGCCUGGGAAGGGAUAUGGCCUGGCUUCGGCAGCAGAGGCUCAUGUUGGUGUUGAUUCAAGGGUGGGAACACCCAAGUGCCAUCCUGGAGUAUAAAAGGGGAAGAUGUGGCUGCCUACCAUGCUUGCAACAGUUGGAGGCAGGAGAUUGUAUAGAACUGUGGCAAUAGGUCUGGAUCUUUGAAACAGUGCUCAGACUCAAAGGGAAGAAAAAUAAGAAGGAGAUAUACCACGUGGCAUUGUUUAUAUCAAUCAAAAAUUCGAUUUUUUUCCAAAACUACACACAAAAAGGAUGCAUGUCAAACCUAUUGGAUAGCCGUGGAUGGAGGAUAGGGCUGAGGUUUGAGGACUGAAGGGAAAAUUUCAAAGCUCCAUCAGACUUAGUAGCCUUUUUCACCCAUGACCCCAUCCUCACUAUCCUUCUUCCUUGAGCUUGACCGUGCCUGGCUGCCAUCAGUUAGAAUGUACGAGUAACUGGGAAGCGUGGAGACCCGGAGAGCUUGAGGGGACCACACCCUAUUAGUCAUGGCAUCUGGAUGCUGCUCAGCAAAAGUCUUUUGAAUGAACUGAAGAAAUUCUUGUUCUUCCAUCUCCAGAAAAUGUCUCUACUUCCCUGAUCUUGGAUUCCUACAGCUGUCAAGACAGAGAUGAUAAUUGCAAUUCUUUUCCAGGGUCAUUGAGGAUGAGCUGGUACAACAGGCGUCUGGUUCAGUAGAGAAAGGACAGAACAGAAGAAGGCAGUAGCUCAAGUCCCAGCCAGGGCUGCUUGUGUUAGUUGCAGUCUUUGAAUAGUGGACCAGUUACUUCAUGUCUAAUUUCCAUCUGUAAAAUGACCCUAUGCUAACGGUGUAGAACCGAGGGUUAACGACAGCGCCCAUAGAGCACUUGCUAUCUAAUAGUGGAUGCUCAGGAAGCGGGAUAUCUCUAUCUCCAUUCCCUAAAUUAUUUGAUGAACAUUGGUGACUACUAUUGCAGUCUGAAUGUCUUGGCUCCCCUUCCCCAGACUCAUACACUGGAAUCCUAACCCCCUAAGGCCAUGCUGUUGGGAGGGAGGUGAUGACAUCAUGAGGUGGUUCCCUCAUGCCCUGAUUGAUGCUCACCUAGAAGAGGCCCCAGGGAACCACUAUGUGUCUUUCGUUAUGUUAAGACACGGAUAAAAUGCCCCUCUAGGAAGCAGAGGGUGCACCCAUACCAGAUACCAAAUCGGCUGGUGCCUUGACCUUGAACUUUCCGGUACACAAGGACUACGAGAAAUAAAUCAUAGUGGCGUCUAAGCCACCAAGCUACAGAACUUUGUCCUAGCAUUUCAGAACAACUACGACAAGGGUUGGUGUUGUGCCCGACAGAGGAAGAGGACUGAAGAUCUAUGUUAUUUAUGGCUGUCAAACAAUUUGCUCCUGAAUUCCGCAGUCAACACAGCAACCUGAUCAUCUCAGCGUUCCUGUGGGUCAAGAUCCAGGCGCCGAUUUGAGAAGGCAGCUCCCGAGGCAUGGCCUGGGGCUGUAUUCAUGGUAUGGUUUGGAUUGGAAAAGGAGAUGGAGGCCACCCCAGUGGCAUCUCCUCUUUGCCUUGGGGGCCUAUUGUGCUUCAGUUCCUCCUGUGGCAGCUGUCUCCCUUCGGAGCCAGAACACAUGCCCGGUCCUGGUGACACGAUGUCAGAAAGGGACAUCAGCCCUGCUUCAUUUUAUUCGCUCGAAAUGAGUCACUAAAUCCAGUCCUGGCCAAGGGACAAGAAAUGACACAUGGACAUGGGGGAGUCAGCAGGGAGGUCAGAUGGAUCAAGUCCGUCCUCGUAGGGGUUCUCAUUUUCAGGUGCGGUAAAGUUUCCUAGGACUGGAGGCAGCUGAGGAAUGCAUUCUUGCAUACAGCAGAGCCACUGGGCUUCAUGGUGGGAGCAACAUCCAUCUGUGCUUUCUAUAAGGACGACACAUUGAGUAACUCGGAACUAUUUAUUUAUCCAUAGAGCGACGUGGGCCGAGCCAUCCUGGCUAAUUAGACCCUCGGGCUGCUCAUGCUUGGGCUGUUUCAACUUUCUGGGAAAAGGCCUUUCUUUAUGUGGAUGUGUGUGUCUAUAUUAGUCCAUGUAAAGCCUGUGUGUGCGUGUGUGCAUGUGUGUGCAUGUGUGCCUGUGUGCAAGUGUGUGUGUGCAUGUGUACAUGUGUGUAUGUGUGUGUACCUGUGUGCAUGUGUGCAUGUGUGUGUACCUAUGUGCCUGUGUGCGUGUGUGUUUACCUGUGUGUAUGUGUGCAUGUAUACAUGUGUGCAUGUGUGUAUGCCUGUGUGCAUGUGUGCAUGUGUACCUGUGUGCAUGUGUGUGUGUGUGUGUGUGUUUCUAUCUUCUCUGCCUCUUGGAUCCUGCCCCUCCCUGGGCCUACAGACCCCUGACUUCACCUUUCCUCUGUCCCCCAUGCCCUUUGUCGGGAGGUCAUGUGUGAGGAAACAAGCCCCACAUGGUUCUAAUCAUUUUGCUUUAAAAGCUGAGCUGCUCUCUGCUUUGAUCCGGGUUGAGCUGCUGGAGGAAGGGCUGGGGGCCAGGCUGGCCUGUCCAUGGAGC
Long non-coding RNA from Alexandromys fortis (reed vole), 4066 nucleotides. RefSeq lists it as uncharacterized. NCBI's taxonomy places the organism in Eukaryota, Metazoa, Chordata, Mammalia, Rodentia, Cricetidae. The transcript is spliced from 6 exons. The record is from RefSeq and is a predicted model, not a curated record.